CCUACGGGAGGCAGCAGUCGAGAAUCAUUCACAAUAGGGGAAACCCUGAUGGUGCGACGCCGCGUGGGGGAAUGAAGGUCUUCGGAUUGUAAACCCCUGUCAUGUGGGAGCAAAUUAAAAAGAUAGUACCACAAGAGGAAGAGACGGCUAACUCUGUGCCAGCAGCCGCGGUAAUACAGAGGUCUCAAGCGUUGUUCGGAAUCACUGGGCGUAAGGCGUGCGUAGGCUGUUUCGUAAGUCGUGUGUGAAAGGCGCGGGCUCAACCCGCGGACGGCACAUGAUACUGCGAGACUAGAGUAAUGGAGGGGGAACCGGAAUUCUCGGUGUAGCAGUGAAAUGCGUAGAUAUCGAGAGGAACACUCGUGGCGAAGGCGGGUUCCUGGACAUUAACUGACGCUGAGGCACGAAGGCCAGGGGAGCGAAAGGGAUUAGAUACCCGAGUAGUC
Molecule: ribosomal RNA, 446 nt
Filed under: uncultured bacterium
Lineage: Bacteria
Description: partial 16S ribosomal RNA
Rfam family: Bacterial small subunit ribosomal RNA
Source: RNAcentral